GUGGGAGUUGAAAAAAAAAUUUUUGUGUCUUAAGCAUAAAUAAUCUUAGUAAAGGUGAUAGAAAAGAAGGUUAUAGGUAAGUACCGAUAGGGAAGCAAUUAAAAUGAUUAAAGCUGAGUUUUAUUCUUCUACCUUGUGUAUUAUGGGCUUCCAAAAUAGAUCUUAUAUAAGGUUAACCCGAAAGUAAGUGGGCUAUUUUUAGCCUGUUAAGAACGCAGAAUUUAAGUGUUUCAAAACUUAAGGAAGAGUUAAAAAUAGAGAUAAGAUGUCAUUCGCACUUGCAGAUAGCUGGUUGUUCUUUAAAUGCAUUUAAGUGCAUUUUCUUUGUGAAGAAGACUAAUUCUGGGAUAAGCUAGUAUUAGUAGAAGAUUAGGUUUAUUGAAAUUGAUAAUUAAUUUAUUUAGGCUUAGAAAUAGCUAUAGUAUAUGAACCUGUUAUUAGGUAGAUAUUUUUAAAAUAUAAUUUUAAUCAAAACAUUCUUUAAUUAAGGGAUAACUAAGAGGAACAUUUUAUCUUAGAUUAAAAUGGUUAGCAUGAUUAUAAGAAGGAACUUAAAAAUAAGUAACUUUUUUAAAAUACAGAAAGUAACUCGGCAAAUAGGAGCAACGACUGUAUAACAAAGACAUAGCUUUUUGAAUUUAUGAAAAGUGCUGUCUGCCCGGUGACCCAUCAGUUAAACGGCCGCUUAUGUGCUAAGGUAGCAUAAUAAUUUGCCUUUUUAUUGGAGGCUAGUAUGAAAGGCCUAACGAAGCUCGUCUGUCUCUUUGUAUAAAUUAAAAUUGAUUUGCAUAUGAAAAAUUAUGUAUUCUGAUGUAGGACGAGAAGACCCUAUAGAGUUUUAGUAUAAUUUAUAUAAUAAGAUUAUUAACAAAAAGCUAGAUUAAGGUGUUAUAUGAAUAUACUUUUAUUGGGGCAAUAUAAGAUUAUAGUAAAACUCUUGAAUGUGUAAUUUACGAUAGUAAAAUUGAGAUCCUCAAAGAGAAUUAAGAAAAACUACCUUAGGGAUAACAGCGUAAUCUUACCAGAGAGGUCUAAUCGAAGGUAGGGUUUGCGACCUCGAUGUUGGACUAAGAGAACUUUAAAGUGUAGAAGCUUUAAAAGUAAGCCUGUUCGGCUUUUAAUAUCUUACAUGAUCUGAGUUCAGGUCGGCGUGAGCUAGUCCGGUUUCUAUCCUCAUUAGAGAAUUAAGACCUUCCUAUAUUACGAAAGGAACCAGGAAGGAGAUUUAAUCUUUUUGAUUGAUGGAAAUAUUUAUAUUAAAAUGUU
This 1266-nucleotide ribosomal RNA is filed under the name Flustra foliacea (greater hornwrack). RNAcentral describes it as "16S ribosomal RNA". It matches the Rfam family "Bacterial large subunit ribosomal RNA", at positions 505 to 2749 of the family's 2925-position model. The record is from RNAcentral. Lineage: Eukaryota; Metazoa; Bryozoa; Gymnolaemata; Cheilostomatida; Flustridae.